CCUCCAAGGCUAAAUACUCCUGACUGACCGAUAGUGAACCAGUACCGUGAGGGAAAGGCGAAAAGAACCCCGGCGAGGGGAGUGAAAAAGAACCUGAAACCGUGUACGUACAAGCAGUGGGAGCACCUUCGGGUGUGACUGCGUACCUUUUGUAUAAUGGGUCAGCGACUUAUAUUCUGUAGCAAGGUUAACCGUAUAGGGGAGCCGCAGGGAAACCGAGUCUUAACUGGGCGUUAAGUUGCAGGGUAUAGACCCGAAACCCGGUGAUCUAGCCAUGGGCAGGUUGAAGGUUGGGUAACACUAACUGGAGGACCGAACCGACUAAUGUUGAAAAAUUAGCGGAUGACUUGUGGCUGGGGGUGAAAGGCCAAUCAAACCGGGAGAUAGCUGGUUCUCCCCGAAAGCUAUUUAGGUAGCGCCUCGUGAACUCAUCUUCGGGGGUAGAGCACUGUUUCGGCUAGGGGGUCAUCCCGACUUACCAACCCGAUGCAAACUACGAAUACCGAAGAAUGUUAUCACGGGAGACACACGGCGGGUGCUAACGUCCGUCGUGAAGAGGGAAACAACCCAGACCGCCAGCUAAGGUCCCAAAGUCAUGGUUAAGUGGGAAACGAUGUGGGAAGGCACAGACAGCCAGGAUGUUGGCUUAGAAGCAGCCAUCAUUUAAAGAAAGCGUAAUAGCUCACUGGUCGAGUCGGCCUGCGCGGAAGAUGUAACGGGGCUAAACCAUGCACCGAAGCUGCGGCAGCGACACUAUGUGUUGUUGGGUAGGGGAGCG
RNAcentral lists this ribosomal RNA (778 nucleotides) under Klebsiella pneumoniae. Its description in RNAcentral is "partial 23S ribosomal RNA". It matches the Rfam family "Bacterial large subunit ribosomal RNA", at positions 457 to 1238 of the family's 2925-position model. The record is from RNAcentral. Lineage: Bacteria; Pseudomonadati; Pseudomonadota; Gammaproteobacteria; Enterobacterales; Enterobacteriaceae.